This is a long non-coding RNA of Panthera uncia (snow leopard), 819 nucleotides long. RefSeq lists it as uncharacterized. The transcript is spliced from 3 exons. NCBI's taxonomy places the organism in Eukaryota, Metazoa, Chordata, Mammalia, Carnivora, Felidae. The record is from RefSeq and is a predicted model, not a curated record.
AGUAUGUCCAAGACUCAAUCAUAGUCAAGGACCAAAUAUUUAUGCCUGGAAAAUCCCUGAAAAGCCAGGCAAGACCUUGGUCCUAAUAUACUCAGUAUUAGGCUAAGGGAUUAGGCUUAAGAGAAAAAGGCAUGAGCCCAGAAAUGCGAGGGCGACUUGGGGAUUUAGACUCAAGAAUAAGGCUUACAUGCAAAUGCCAGAUCAGAACCAAACCAGCAGAAAGAUCCCGGGGCAGGACUGAAUCUGCAGACAGAGGCCACAUGACACCAGAUGUGAGGAAGGGAGAUUUGAGAAAUCAUCAUUUUUGAAUGAGAUUUUCCUCUCGUUUUGCAUCUGCAGCAAAUCUCUGGCGCAAGAGGAGCUCAUCUAAUGUCAUAGUGUCAUCUGUGUGGGGUGUAUGUGUAAGGAAGGCGCCAAUCUUCAUUUGAUCCUCCAAAUUCCCAUUAGAUGACUGAAAUGUCUCUUGCUGCAUGGCCUAUGGUUAUUGGUUGUCAGCCUCUGCUCUUGCUACACUGGCUGCUGCUGCUAUCACUUUUUUCUUCAUUUUCACCCUUACAAAUUUGUCCCUGCCUUCACCUUUACUCACAAGGACUGAACACUGUGCUGUCCUUAUCUCCAUCCCAACAUCUUGCAGUCCCCUGGCCCCCUCAGCAUUUUAGCACCCCCACUAACUUUUGUAACAGCUUCCAAAACUCUUCCUCCAGGCCUGCCACAUAACACAGGGCUCAGGGCAGAAGUAUAAAUGGAGGCCCACAUAUCAAAAUUCUAAACAUUACCAAGCAAAAAAUUUAUUAAAUAUAAUAUAUUCUAUACUUUGAC